Molecule: long non-coding RNA, 380 nt
Organism: Ictalurus punctatus (channel catfish)
Lineage: Eukaryota; Metazoa; Chordata; Actinopteri; Siluriformes; Ictaluridae
Source: Ensembl
CAGAUGCAGAUACAGGAGCAGGUGCAGAUACAGGUGUAGAUACAGAUACAGGUACAGAUACAGAUGCAGGUACGGGUGCAAGUGCAGAUACAGAUAUAGAUGCAGAUUCAAGUACAAAUACAGGUGCAGGUGCAGAUAUAGGUGCAGAUACAGACACAGGUGCAGAUACAGGUGCAGGUGCACAUACAGGUGCAGGUACAGGUACGGGUACAGAUACAGGUCCGGGUACAGAUACAGGUAUGGGUACAGAUACAGGUGCAGGUACAGAUACAGGUGCAGGUAUGGUACAGAUAUAGGUGCAGGUAUGGGUACAGAUGCAGGUAUGGGUACAGAUACAGGUGCAGGUAUAGAUACAAGUGCAGGUAUGGGUACAGAUACAG